Molecule: long non-coding RNA, 926 nt
Filed under: Cairina moschata (Muscovy duck)
Lineage: Eukaryota; Metazoa; Chordata; Aves; Anseriformes; Anatidae
Description: domestica (muscovy Duck (domestic type)) lncRNA (ENSCMMG00000013651.1)
Source: RNAcentral
AUGGGGCUCCUUCACCUCAUCCCCCUGCUCGAACUUCCCCCUCCUCCCGACAUCGCGGUGACGCCGGAGAAGCCGGAGUACCUGAUCGGCGACACCGUCUCCAUCCGCUGCGCGGCCCCCAGGUCUACCAGUAGGGUCCAGGGCUUCCAGUUCUCCAGGACGGGGCGUUGGGUGGACGUCAGGAGCCCUUGGAGGACCUACACCUACACCUUCAACGUCACCGGCCCCAAAGACGGCGGGGCGCACACCUGCACCUACACCGUCACCGACCGCUACCGCCGGCCCGCGCGCUCGCGGGAGAGCCGAGCCGUUGACAUCAACGUUAGAGACCCUCCUCCAGCCCCGACGCUGGUCCUCAACGCCACGUCGGGGGUGGUGAGCGAAGGCUUCCCCCUCCUCUUCCUCUGCACGGCCCCGGCGAGCGCGGUGGGGCCGCGGUUCCGCUUCUUCCAGGACGGGUCCGAGGCCACCGCGGGGGUCGAGGUGGCCACGGGGGGCCACCGAGCUCGGAUCUCGGUGGCCACCAGCGGCCAAAACCACAGCGGGAACUUCAGCUGCGGCUACGAGGAGCGCGUCGAGGGCCGCUGGAUCCUCUCCUUCCUCAGCGAGGCCGUGGAGGUCUUGGUCAAAGGUGGGGCGGUGUUUUGGGGUCAAACGCGGGGGUUUCGGGGCGCCGGGAGGAGCGCGAGUCUGACGUUGUGGGGCAAUCUUCCUCCAACCGCCCGGAUACUCAACCGAUGGAACUUUUUGCCCAAAAAUGGUGUUUUUAAGAGGUUUUUCCAUCCUCAGUUCCAUGUUGAGGUCCAUUGAGAUGUUUCUCUUAAGCUCAAAUUGGCAUUUUUCUCCUCAAAUUCAAGGGCGGGCUGUUCCAAACCCAACUUUUCCAUCUUCAAUUCCAUUUUGGGGUCCAUCAAGACGUUUCUCCU